UACAGAGGUCCCAAGCGUUGUUCGGAUUCAUUGGGCGUAAAGGGUGCGUAGGUGGCAUGGUUAGUCGGGUGUGAAAUCCCGGGGCUCAACCCCGGAACUGCACUCGAUACUGCCGUGCUCGAGUACUGGAGAGGAGACUGGAAUUUACGGUGUAGCAGUGAAAUGCGUAGAUAUCGUAAGGAAGACCGGUGGCGAAGGCUAGUCUCUGGACAGUCACUGACACUGAGGCACGAAGGCCAGGGGAGCAAACGGG
This 253-nucleotide ribosomal RNA is filed under the name uncultured bacterium. RNAcentral describes it as "partial 16S ribosomal RNA". It matches the Rfam family "Bacterial small subunit ribosomal RNA", at positions 524 to 776 of the family's 1533-position model. The record is from RNAcentral.